Molecule: long non-coding RNA, 4105 nt
Organism: Phragmites australis (common reed)
Lineage: Eukaryota; Viridiplantae; Streptophyta; Magnoliopsida; Poales; Poaceae
Exons: 5
Source: RefSeq, a predicted model, not a curated record
CCACUCCCGACACAUGUUCCGUUUAAAAUCCGUGACGUCGACGUGGCCACGCGCUAAGCCACAAUCCCUCCAUCCCCGCCGCAAUUAACAAACACUAAUUAAAUCCUCCCUCCCUUAGCCCAAAAGCCAAUCCCGUCGCAUCACCUCUCGUUUUUCCUACCUCCACUUGGAAUUGGGGCACUGGUUCUAGACCCGUCGGUUCGAUCCUUCUAGACCCUUCGCCGCCCCCGUUAUAAAGCCGGCGCCGUCCGCACAUCAACGCUCGCACACAGUCCGCUGCUCAUUGGCUGGAGAGGGUGGGAUUCGCGGAGGAUUCGAGGAGUGUUGAGGAAAAGGAGGCUAUGAGCAGCAAUAGGAUUUUAGGAACUAUACCGACCUGCUCGCCCAUGUGUUGGUGAAAUUUUUUGACUUGAGGGAGUGAAGUCAUGAGUGAACAGUAUCCGUGACUUUACUCCCUCCAACCUGUCGGAUUGGAAAUAAACUAGCUAGAUUGAUCCCACGGUUUUUGAUACAGUACUGUUCUACAGGACAGUCCCUAAAGUAUUUCCAUGCGCAAUAUUAUUUGCUACAGUAUAAUCACUACAGUAAGGUACGGUUCAGUCACCGCAAAAAAUACUGUUCACAGAUGAUUUUCCUUCCUCAUGUCAGAGGAUCGUAAGUUACUAAAUUAGGUAACUGGCACCAGACGUAUCAUUGUACAUGGCACUUAGUGCACAAAUUGAGAACUAAGUUACGUGAUUGUAUCUUCUAUUUAUUAUGAAUUAAAUCUUAAAUUUGUUUAAUUAUAUGUCUCAUAAGACAAAAAAAAUUUAAUAACUGAUAUAUUCGUUGACAGCGAGAUGUUUAUAUUGAUUUUAUUAAUUUUUAUGUUCUAUACAUCUGAUCUUCCAUAAACAUGAAUGUGUACGUGGGUCGUGGGGUAGUACGAGUGAAUACGUAACUCCACGUGUUGGGUUAGGUUUUUUAAAAAAAGCACAAAUUCAAAAGCCACAUACAAGUUCUAGAACUUUCGAGGUUCCCAGGCCACUUAGCUCUUUAGCCGUAACGAGGAGCGGAGGGGACCACCAUAUAAAAAGCACAAACCUGAUUGGACCAUGCCCUACCCUCCCCACGCUCCACUCCCGACACAUGUUCCGUUUAAAAUCCGUGACGUCGACGUGGCCGUGCGCUGAGCCGCAACCCCUCCUCCCCGCCGCAAUUAACAACCAGUAAUUAAAUCCUCCCUCCCUUAGCCCAAAAGCCAAUCCCGUCGCAUCACCUCUCGUUUUUCCUACCUCCACUUGGAAUUGGGGCUCUGGUUCUAGACCCGUCGGUCCGAUCCUUCUAGACCCUUCGCCGCCCCCGUUAUAAAGCUGGCGCCGCCCGCACAUCAGCGCUCGCACACAGUCCGCUUUUCAUUGGCUGGAGAGGGUGGGAUUCGCGGAGGAUUCGAGUCAUGGGAUUAUUGCAUGCGGCGGCACCAAGCAUGAGGCAGGAACUGCAUUACUUGCAAGAAGUCACAAAAUCAAUUGGAAGAUCAUACUUGUGGCUUUCUUGCAAGUUGUGCAGUUGUUGCCUCAAGCUUGCUGCCUCCCUUUGCCAGAGCUAUCAGUAAAACAAGAAGUAUUGUCAGUUUCUGAGCUACAAAAAUUAAUUUUAGAAAAAUAAUCUCAAAAUGUAUGCCGUAGUAUACUAAUACAUUGCGUAAAAUGAAUCAAUACUCAACAACAGCACAUGCUUCAGAUUUGGGGAUAACAUACCUAUUUCAUUUACAUGCAAAUAUUUGGACCUAUAAUGCUCUGAUUUAGUAUAAUUACCGUAACAACAUAUGCAUUUCCAUGUAAUCUUAGUUGACUAAAUGGGUUUGUAGUUGAUCAAUAUGUUGGAACAAUAUCAGUAGGGUAAUAUUAUAUUAUUACAUUUACAGUCUCCAAUGUGAUUUCAGGGCAAAUUCAGUUUGAUCUUUCUGUUUUUCCAAAUAACAUUUUUUUUAGAUGCAUUCUCAAUGCGCUUAUGUAAUAGUGAGUUCUGUGCCUAUUGCGAUAUUUUCUUUUACAUUUGGUAUCCUGUUAGUGUAUGGUUUCAUCAUCUUUGAAGCACAAUAUUGCCAGACAAAAAUAUUCUUCUGUGGAGCAUGACUAAAUCCAAGAGCAGUAUAUGUACCAUACUUCAUAGCCUUCACGACCAUGUAACCUGUAGAUGAUGAUUUGGCCUUUCUUGAUAUUUACAGAAGAAAAAUUGUCAUUAAACGGUCCUGAAUGGAAGGACUAAACAUGACAUCAGUAUCAUACUUAUUAAUGUCAGUUACAUUUUUUAUGGUCCUGAGUAUUCCAGCUUUUAAUAUUUUACUGCCCUUUUUCUUGUGCUAGUGACAGUGUCAGUUGAAUUCCAUACAAAUCUUUUACUGUAUAACUUAAAGGGACACCUUGCCUUCUGCUUUUAACUUGCCAGCUGCCACAGCAGGUGUGAAUACUAUGCCGAGCUCUAAAGUACAGAUGUUAAUGUUGAGGGAAUUAUUACUAUGACGAGCUCUAUGGUACAGAUGUUAAUGUUAAGGUAGUCAACAGAUUCAGUAAUAUUCGGCAUGUAAUCUUUGGUUUGUGCUAUGGUAUCUAUUUCAGAGUAAAAGGGUGCAGUGCAACUGCACGGUAAGAGGCUAGAACCGAUUUAUAGGCUUGUUCUUACUAAAGUAAAACACCUUGUACCUGGAUUUUGCUUCAGUGCACUCAUUUUAUCUAACUUCGUACUGUAUAAUAUGCCUCCUCAGGAUGAACUUUGGAUGAGUUGGAAUGACUUUGGCCUCGUCUUCAAACUAAGGUGAUGGUUAAGCUUCAUGAGAAAUUGUGCUGCCAUAGAGAAUUUAAGAUUGGUUUUCCAACUGCUGUACUUACUAGCUGACUGCUCGGAGCCUUGGAGGCUUGGACAGAGCUCUCCUUUUACAGGGCACAUGGUCAAUCAGAAAGGCAUAAGUUUAUCUGGAGUUUUAAACUUCGCUUGCCUGGUAUUCAGAAGCUUUAUGUAAUUAAGAUGAGCCGGAAUUUUCCAUGGUCAAGCUUCUUGUUUUGAGGACAUUUGUAUUGAAUUGCCAUACACAUUAUGGACAGAUGAUUUGCCAAGACUGUUGUGGACGAAUUGUUCCUCUUGUUUCAUGGCUUACAAAUUACAUUGCCCAACUGUAAGUAUCACUCUAACAAGUCCAUACCCAUUCCAUUUAGACAUGCAGGUAUGUGACCACAUCCUCCUAGGUUAAUAGGGAAAUUAGUUCACUUUUUUCUCUUUAUUCUAAAAUGGUUGGCUCUAUUCCCUGCCUAUCCAAACAUGGUCUUCCAGGGAUACAGCUGGCGCCCUAUUAAACUGCAAACUGGUUGAUGAUGUGGAUAGCAGACUGCUAGAUGGAGAUAAUAUCCCUCUAUAUUCGCGUAUAUUGUAGUAGUUUUCAGUCUCAAGAAGGCUAGUAUAUCAAAUGAAGGCACACAAAUUUCGAUAUACAGAUUAUGAAGGCACUGCUGACUGGCUGGUAGGUGAAGACUCGGGACAAACUAAGAAUAUAUCCUUGCGGCUAUACAAGUGUGUCUAUGUGUCCUUGGUGUGUACUAGGAGGCGCAUAAGCUUAUGGUAUGUUGUAUGUGUGCAUGGUGCACGUAUUUAUCGAAAUCUCAAUCUUAGGAAGGCUAGUAAAUCAAAUGAGCUGAAGCUAGAACACGAAUUUCGGCAUACAAAUUAUGAAAAGACACCGGUGACUGGCUGCCUGAUUGGUGAAGAUUUGGGAGAAACUAAGGGUGCAUUUCGUUAUACAGCAACAAAUUGUUAGAUCAUAAAGCUUUGCGUAAACAUCAUGGAUUCACUUACUCUAGAAUCAAGCACCUCGUAACAACGGAAGCGUGAGAUGUACCUAUGUUGGAUGAGACCAUCUUGAUGAUUGGUGAGAUGUAGUCGUUGCCGUGCGUGAUCGUGGGUGUGAGACAUUUGACGUAGGUGUGGCUGGCAUGAUAUCUUCGGAACAAAACUACAGUGCACCCUUUAAAUCGGUCUAGGGUUUUUGGCAUAUGAGGGUGUGCAUUAGCUAUGUGAGAUCGAUUAAACCCAUGAGCCUCGACGUUCCCCUUUUAUUAUUGCGCUACGUGGA